Molecule: antisense RNA, 75 nt
Filed under: Nocardia neocaledoniensis
Lineage: Bacteria; Bacillati; Actinomycetota; Actinomycetes; Mycobacteriales; Nocardiaceae
Description: ASpks TB sRNA
Rfam family: ASpks TB sRNA
Source: RNAcentral
UUUCAGCGAGCCCAGCCACAGCGGCCGCGCGGCAUCGCGAUCCCGGCCGUAGGUGGCCAUCAGCGCCUGCGCCUC